GGCAGCGGGAGUAGCAAUACUUGCCGGCGACCGGCGCACGGGUGCGUAACGCGUAUGCAACUUACCAUUAACUGGAGGAUAGCCCCUCGAAAGAGGGAUUAAUACUCCAUAGUAUUAUGAAAAGGCAUCUUUUUAUAAUUAAAGCUCCGGCGGUUAAUGAUGGGCAUGCGUGACAUUAGCUAGUUGGUGAGGUAACGGCUCACCGAGGCAACGAUGUCUAGGGGAUCUGAGAGGACUAACCCCCACACUGGUACUGAGACACGGACCAGACUCCUACGGGAGGCAGCAGUAAGGAAUAUUGGUCAAUGGAGGCAACUCUGAACCAGCCAUGCCGCGUGAAGGAUGAAGGCCCUAUGGGUCGUAAACUUCUUUUGUACGGGAAAAAACCCUUUUACGUGUAAGAGGUUGAUGGUACCGUAAGAAUAAGGAUCGGCUAACUCCGUGCCAGCAGCCGCGGUAAUACGGAGGAUCCAAGCGUUAUCCGGAUUCAUUGGGUUUAAAGGGUGCGUAGGCGGCUUAUUAAGUCAGCGGUGAAAGCCUGGAGCUUAACUCCAGAACUGCCAUUGAUACUGAUGAGCUUGAGUACACUUGAAGUGGGCGGAAUGUGU
Molecule: ribosomal RNA, 608 nt
Filed under: uncultured Bacteroidota bacterium
Lineage: Bacteria; Pseudomonadati; Bacteroidota
Description: bacterial SSU rRNA
Rfam family: Bacterial small subunit ribosomal RNA
Source: RNAcentral